GAUGAACGCUGACAGAAUGCUUAACACAUGCAAGUCUUUGGCGAAGCUGUGCUUGCACAGCCUAGCCAAGGCGGACGGGUGAGUAACGCGUAAGGAACUUGCCCUGCAGUCAGGGAUAACAGACGGAAACGACUGAUAAGACCUGGUAAAGUCAGGCGGACUCAUGUCCAGCCUGAUGAAAAGAGAUGCUGCAGGAGAGCCUUGCGUCCUAUUAGCUUGUUGGUGGGGUAACGGCCCACCAAGGCGAUGAUAGGUAGCCGGCCUGAGAGGGUGGACGGCCACAAGGGGAGUGAGAUACGGCCCUUACUCCUGCGGGAGGCAGCAGUGGGGAAUAUUGGACAAUGGGGGCAACCCUGAUCCAGCAAUUCUGUGUGCACGAUGAAGGUUUUCGGAUUGUAAAGUGCUUUCAGCAGGGAAGAAAAAAAUGACGGUACCUGCAGAAGAAGCGACGGCUAAAUACGUG
RNAcentral lists this ribosomal RNA (463 nucleotides) under uncultured bacterium. RNAcentral describes it as "partial 16S ribosomal RNA". It matches the Rfam family "Bacterial small subunit ribosomal RNA", at positions 28 to 507 of the family's 1533-position model. The record is from RNAcentral.